This 253-nucleotide ribosomal RNA is filed under the name uncultured bacterium. RNAcentral describes it as "partial 16S ribosomal RNA". It matches the Rfam family "Bacterial small subunit ribosomal RNA", at positions 524 to 776 of the family's 1533-position model. The record is from RNAcentral.
UACGUAGGGUGCAAGCGUUAAUCGGAAUUACUGGGCGUAAAGCGUGCGCAGGCGGUUUUGUAAGUCUGACGUGAAAUCCCCAGGCUUAACCUGGGAACUGCAUCCGAUACUGGAUGGCUUGAAUCCGGGAGAGGGAUGCAGAAUUCCAGGUGUAGCGGUGAAAUGCGUAGAUAUCUGGAGGAAUACCGGUGGCGAAGGCGGCAUCCUGGACCGGCAUUGACGCUGAUGAGCGAAAGCCAGGGGAGCAAACGGG